This 653-nucleotide ribosomal RNA is filed under the name Ilisha elongata (elongate ilisha). Its description in RNAcentral is "partial 16S ribosomal RNA". It matches the Rfam family "Bacterial large subunit ribosomal RNA", at positions 1815 to 2688 of the family's 2925-position model. The record is from RNAcentral. Lineage: Eukaryota; Metazoa; Chordata; Actinopteri; Clupeiformes; Pristigasteridae.
AUCGCCUCCUGCUACUAAAUCGUAUAGGAGGUCCCGCCUGCCCCGUGACUUACGUUCAACGGCCGCGGUAUUCUAACCGUGCAAAGGUAGCGCAAUCAAUUGUCUUUUAAAUGAAGACCUGUAUGAAUGGCAUAACGAGGGUUUAACUGUCUCUUUUACCCAGCCAAUGAAACUGAUCUGUCCGUGCAGAAGCGGACAUAAAAAUACAAGACGAGAAGACCCUGUGGAGCUUCAGACACCAACCAACCUUAAUAUCAACGAUUCUCAAAUCAAAGAGCCGAAACAACCUUGGUCCUGGCACAAAUGUCUUCGGUUGGGGCGACCACGGUGAGAAAACAAAGCUCCCGAGCGGAUUGUGAAUCCUUCUUAAAACUCAGAGUUACACCUCUAAGUCUCAAAACAUUUGACCGACAAUGAUCCGACCACCCGUCGAUCAACGAACAAAGUUACCCCAGGGAUAACAGCGCAAUCCUUUCACAGAGCCCAUAUCGACGAAAGGGUUUACGACCUCGAUGUUGGAUCAGGACAUCCCAAUGGUGCAGCCGCUAUUAAAGGUUCGUUUGUUCAACGAUUAAAGUCCUACGUGAUCUGAGUUCAGACCGGAGAAAUCCAGGUCGGUUUCUAUCUGUAACACCAUCCCUCCUAGUACGAAA